GAAUAUUUUCAACACACCACUGAACAGUGCACUGACCCACAGGAACCCUCCUACCAACACUGCAAAAAGAAGAAUUCUGUGUGGACUCCUCCUGAUGGUCGAAAUGACAGACUGGAUUUCGACAGAGAGUGCUUCCGCAGAUGUGCACAGAUCUUGGAAGAGCAAACGUCUGA
Chelonia mydas (Green sea turtle) is the source of this 173-nucleotide long non-coding RNA. RefSeq lists it as uncharacterized. The record is from RefSeq and is a predicted model, not a curated record. NCBI's taxonomy places the organism in Eukaryota, Metazoa, Chordata, Testudines, Cheloniidae. The transcript is spliced from 3 exons.